Molecule: ribosomal RNA, 239 nt
Filed under: uncultured bacterium
Lineage: Bacteria
Description: partial 16S ribosomal RNA
Rfam family: Bacterial small subunit ribosomal RNA
Source: RNAcentral
CGACCGGCGCACGGUGCGUAACGCGUAUGCAACCUACCUUUAACAGGGGGAUAACACUGAGAAAUUGGUACUAAUACCCCAUAAUAUCAUAGAAGGCAUCUUUUAUGGUUGAAAAUUCCGAUGGUUAGAGAUGGGCAUGCGUUGUAUUAGCUAGUUGGUGGGGUAACGGCUCACCAAGGCGACGAUACAUAGGGGGACUGAGAGGUUAACCCCCACACUGGUACUGAGACACGGACCAG